RNAcentral lists this long non-coding RNA (821 nucleotides) under Cricetulus griseus (Chinese hamster). Its description in RNAcentral is "lncRNA (ENSCGRG00015042492.1)". The record is from RNAcentral. Lineage: Eukaryota; Metazoa; Chordata; Mammalia; Rodentia; Cricetidae.
AGUCAUUGCUGUGCACUUGUGGUAAAGCACACCCAGAGCCAUAAAGCAUAGCACCACCAGCUAACUUCGGAUUGGUUCCUUGUCAUGAAGCAGGCAUCUGACCUCCUAGGGACCAAGGCAAGAUUGUGAUAAGAAAGUAGUGCAUAAAGGGUGGCUUCGACAACAUUCAUUUCUCACACACCUGGUGGCCGGCAAAGCCAAGUCAAGGUGCAAGGGUUUCUCUGUGUAGUUCUGACUGUCCUGGAACUCACUCUGUAGACCAGGCUGGCCUCAGAUUCACUUAGAUCUGCCUGCCUCUGCCUCGAUGGAUGGGAGAUCCCCCCCAGCCACCACCCCCCCCAACCACACAACUACCUUCCCGACUGGAACCAUUAAAGACCAGCUUGUCAUUCUGUCAUUUUUUUCUUGGGUCCUUGCCAAGCUCCAGCCAAACAAUGUCUCUCUGUGGAGUGUAUUCAGUCAGUAACAGGCAAGAAUAGCCAAGGAGGGCAAAGGGCUAGUUCUACUGGCCCGUCCAUCCACCGAAGCCCACCACUUGGCCAUGCUCAGGAAGACAUUGCCCCCUCGUGGUUCCUCUUAUAACUGAGCGAAAAGCAGAUUGCAAACACAAUCAAUAAAUCAAAACACAAAGUUUCCGAUUAAUUGUAGCUCUUCUUCUGGACCUUUUCUCCCGCUGUUCCAACGACUCUUGGUUUAUUUCCUCCCAGGAGGUACCUUUGUUACUAUAGAGCGCCGUGGCAGUAUGACAGCAACUUAAAACAGUUUCUUUUAGAAACUUUCCCACAUCUCCAGAUGCCAAAAACAAAACAAAACAAAAAAAC